UAUUGAUGUGUUUGGGUGUUAGCCUAUGUA
RNAcentral lists this non-coding RNA (30 nucleotides) under Mus musculus (house mouse). Lineage: Eukaryota; Metazoa; Chordata; Mammalia; Rodentia; Muridae. The record is from RNAcentral.